This 605-nucleotide ribosomal RNA is filed under the name uncultured bacterium. RNAcentral's name for it is "bacterial SSU rRNA". It matches the Rfam family "Bacterial small subunit ribosomal RNA", at positions 188 to 810 of the family's 1533-position model. The record is from RNAcentral.
GCAUGAAGUAGCAAUUAAAGGAGCAAUCCGCUAUGAGAUGGGCCCGCGGCGCAUUAGCUAGUUGGUGAGGUAACGGCUCACCAAGGCGACGAUGCGUAGCCGACCUGAGAGGGUGAUCGGCCACAUUGGGGCUGAGACACGGCCCAGACUCCUACGGGAGGCAGCAGUGGGGAAUAUUGCACAAUGGGGGAAACCCUGAUGCAGCAACGCCGCGUGAGUGAUGACGGCCUUCGGGUUGUAAAGCUCUGUCUUCAGGGACGAUAAUGACGGUACCUGAGGAGGAAGCCACGGCUAACUACGUGCCAGCAGCCGCGGUAAUACGUAGGUGGCGAGCGUUGUCCGGAUUUACUGGGCGUAAAGGGAGCGUAGGCGGACUUUUAAGUGAGAUGUGAAAUACUCGGGCUCAACUUGAGUGCUGCAUUUCAAACUGGAAGUCUAGAGUGCAGGAGAGGAGAAUGGAAUUCCUAGUGUAGCGGUGAAAUGCGUAGAGAUUAGGAAGAACACCAGUGGCGAAGGCGAUUCUCUGGACUGUAACUGACGCUGAGGCUCGAAAGCGUGGGGAGCAAACAGGAUUAGAUACCCUGGUAGUCCACGCCGUAAACGAU